This is a long non-coding RNA of Solea solea (common sole), 5284 nucleotides long. RefSeq lists it as uncharacterized. The transcript is spliced from 4 exons. Lineage: Eukaryota; Metazoa; Chordata; Actinopteri; Pleuronectiformes; Soleidae. The record is from RefSeq and is a predicted model, not a curated record.
UUAUUGUUGAACUGUCCACAGAUGGAUAUCACAGACAAGAGAUGGGGACAGUGUCUUACCGUUGCAAGCGAAUCCAUCCGGCCCCAGCUCAUAGCCUUGGUCACAGCGACAGAGGAAGGUGCCAUAUGUGUUGUAACACCUCUGGGAGCACGGAGCGCCCAUGUCACACUCGUUCACAUCUGAAAGGAGUUGGAAGCCGGGUUCACACUGACAAGCGAAAGAGCCGGGAACGUUGACACAACGAUGUUGGCAGUAUCUGUACCUGCACUCGUCGAUGUCUGAGAGAAAAGAGAGCGUGAAAAUGAGUUACUGACCUAACCUCUGUGGCUGUGACCCACUUCAGCACACGGCAUUGUGAGGAUGUCAAAGAACAUGGCCCAUCAUCUGGCUUUGGACGACCACUGAGACACAGGUUCACUGGAACACCACUGCACUAAUGCUGCUGCUGCUCUGACACCUGUUCACAUUACUGGUAAUGGUAAAUGGUAAAAAAUGGUAACUGGUUAAUUAAAUUAAAUUACUAGGGAGAAACAAAAGGUCAGUGAAGUGAUUUGUUGAUUGAUUGAGUGAGUGGUUGAGAAAUGAAUACACUGAUCUCUCAUGACAUUUAAACCAGUAACUGGUUUAACUGUUGUGGAAUAUCUUUAUUCUAUCUUUGGAAUAUAUUUAUUUCUGAGCUAUUCAAGCCAUAGAGAUAUGAGAAAACCCAACUCAUUAUUGAUGGGUUAGAAUUAACUCUAUCUAUCUCAUUUACUUCUAUUAAUAUUUUUUAAAAAUCAUCCAUAAUAGUUAAAUGUACGUACUGUGUUUGGUUUAAGGAUACUGGAAUGGAACUGUCUCCAUCUCCUGAGAUUGCGCAAACCAAGCUAGUAAUCAAGAUAUCAAUAAAUAAUUGAUAUUUAUAAUAAUAAAUAAUGACAAUUGCUGUUAUUUGUAGCAGAUGUAGGUCAUAGCUUAAAAAAAACAUCUGUUUUAUGCUCCAUUCACAUUUCAGCUCAUGAUAAAUUAAUUAUAAUCUAAUAUAAUUACUAUUUGGCGCUUGCCCUUGACAUUCUUUCUGAAUUUACACAGUCGGCAUAUUUUACAAAGCCAAAUGUCAGGCAGCUUUUAAAAGUGACCACGUGGGGACCAGAAAAAACACGUAGUUGGACCACACACACAAAAUAACACACAGUAUAAACUACAGGAGGGUCAUGUCUUAGUCGUGUAUAUGUAGCUCGAGUUGUGUUGUUCUCCGUGGUGCGUGGAGCAGUUUGAGAACAUGGUGGCCCAGCGAGCUCCAGCUGUGCUCUGUUACCAUUGUGGCAGCAGUGAACCUGCAAAUCCACAAUCAGGGUGUCUGCAUCCACACAAAGCCCAACUCCUGUUCUGAGAAUCCCCAUACUUCUCCCCCACCCACCUCCCUGAGCAGUUCCUUUCCCCAGAGGCCAUGCUGCUGCUGCUGCUGCUGCUGCUGCUGCUGCUGCUGCUGCUGCUGCUGCUGCUGCUGCUGCUGCUGCUGCUGCUGCUGCUGCUGCUGCUGCUGUCUCCCUCUGUAAAGACUAUUAGAGGACUGUGAUGUGUCAGUAUAUGCAGACACUGUGGCACUUGAUGAUGGGCUGCUCUUUAGGAGGCUGUUUUCUUCCCUCCCGCUGCAUUCAUAAUUCCACUUAAUUGUGAUGGUGGAGGUGUCAUGUGUUAGUUAUUAGGAGUUUACUGCACAAACAGUGAUUACAGUUGUAGUGAGACAACAUCCUCCACUGCCUGUCAGGUUUAAACAUUGCUUCUUUGUGUAAUGCUGGCACCUGUUCCUCUUGUUCAAUAGAAGCUGUUUAAUCAGAAAGUUGACUCAAAACUUCUUCCACAUUUUCUUACAGUCAUUCCCCCCCCCCUCCGUGUAUCAAGCGAAACCGGGACACUGACGUGAACAGUUGAACAAGAGGGAUAAGUCUCUAAAACGCAGAGCCAAGAAGCAAACAGACUGGGCCACAUUAUCUUGGCUCUUGUGAGGAACCAAGUGUAGCUGGGAGAGCGUAGCAGAAAGCAGAGCUGUGGUGCGGCUGUGACGUGUAUGGCCUGUAGCAGAAAAGUGAGUUAGAGGUGCAUGUCACCUCGGUUACUUGGAGGAAAGUUUCACAAAAAUGAUUCGUCUCUCACCAUUUCUCUGUUUGGCACAAAUCUCCUCUCACAUCAGCGCAAGACAUUAGAGAAACACAUGGAAACUCACAGAUGAAUCUUUUCCGGCAGCUCCUCCUGUCUCUCAGUCUCCCUCUGACCAGUACGUCCUGCUGCAGCCUGCGGUCGACCCGGUGUGGUUGGCGUCCAGAACUGGUCCCUUAAACUCUUGUCUGUGUGACCCUGAGAGAGUGAGUGGGGAGACGGACAGCUGGAGCAGCUGAACACAUGAACAGGGAGGGAGAGAGAGAGCAAGAGAGAAGGAGAGCGAGAGGGAGGGACAGCCCAUUCUUACCCCCCCUCUGGCCCCCUGCACUGCCAUCCUCCACUCUCCAAACCCCCUCUCCCUGACCCCCCAGGAUGCAAAUUCCUGGUCUGCGGCCCAAAUUCCAAAAUUCCAAAUCCGUCCAAAUCGCAGGCGGAACAACAACUCACAGAUUCACACACACACAUGCCCCCCCAUCGUCUUACCCAAUGCCCCUCUCACUGGUCCCACAACACACCUGGUUUCAUUUAAACCAAAUCCCCGCAAAAGCCCCAAGCUCUCCCACCCUUUCCUUCAUUUUUUCCCAUUUACCCCCCAUCUAUCUAUACUUACCUCCCCCAUCUUUGUCUUAUUUUCAUCUCUAUAAAGCAACUGAAGCCCUCACUCUCGCUCAAUCUGACAUGCAGAAUAUUUAUAUCUGGUCAGAGAGCAGUUAAUGGAAUGCAGACAAAAAAAUUAGAACGUGCAGAAGAGAGUGUGUGGAGACCGAGUUGGAAAAUGUGUCAGCUUAUUUAGCAGAAUAAACUGACGGUGCUGACUGCUGCUCACUCUGUGUUUGUACAGGACUAAACCAUUACUGCACUUGGAAUCAUUUCCGGUCUUCUUCUUUUUUUAUAAUUCUUGCAAAAUUUGCAGUGUCAUGUUGUAAUGUUGAGAUGUUGCCUAACCCAUAUUAGUCAUACAAGUCAGAGUCUGACUUGACUUAAGGUCAAACUGCAAGGCUUCCCUUCAACUAAUUCAAAAUGAAAUUAGCAGCAUCCACAUCAUUAUAAUGAUUUUCCAAGAAAGAUAUCGUCCAUUGCAAAAUGAUUUCCUGUCCAUCCAUUUCACAAUAACUAAUGACGUAUCCUAGAGUGAGUAAACCUCCAGUGUGUCAGUUUAAAAACCUUUACUUAACCUUCGAUUGUUUAUCUGUCCUUUAGUUGUGGGUGGUGACAGAGAUGGCAGCUGUCAUUACAGGAGACGUUGUUAAAAGUCACAUUGACGACCCCCUAGUUGGACCAACUGUGCCCCCCUGUAGACUGGACCCUUAUGCCCACGGCCACACACAAACCUCCCACAGACUGGGAGAGCUCUUCAUGACACAUUAAAACUGCUGGUCAUAUUUAAAAUCCAAAACACUAACAGAGCGUCUUCUCUGCAUACUGGCAGCAGACUGCUGACAAAAUCUUUCAUCUUCACACAUGUGAUUUAUCGCCUCCUCUGACUCUUUACAUCUUUAAUCUCCAUCCAGCACUCACAACAUCCGUAAAUCCUGUCUCUGGAAUGGGUUAAUGGCAACAUCUCCUUCAUAUAAACACAGCAAAUAAAAUGAUGAUACAAAACAGGAUGUCGUUUUAAUUGAUAACAUAAAACGGGAUAACGUUUUGAUGUAAAUGCGUGAAUUUUAUUAAACAAAUUAGAUUUACAGACCCUCGUGGGACACCCGAGGAGCAUAUGGGGGGGUUCAAAAGUAACAAUGGAGCUCUAGAAAAAGAAAUCAUCAGUAAAAAAAGAGAAAUCGCACACUGAAGGGCUAAGAUGAAAGACCAGUGGGGGGGGGACAAACCAGAGGAGUUGCAGGCAACAAAUAUGUUUCAGUCGUGAUACAUUUUGAAGAUACAGCUUUUGACGACGCCCAUGUAUCUGUCCCACACAACCUGGUGUCUGAGGGGCAGAAAACAGACAGAAGGAGAACAAAAGUCAGUCAGAGUUAUUCCAAGUCCCAUGACACACUGUAAUUGUGAAAUCUGGACGAAGAGGGUAAAUGAGGCAAUCUUUGUCCACUCGGUGUAAUGUGUAAUGAGGGGGGUCUGCAUCUCUUUUUAUGAAUAUCUCUUUGUUGAGCACGUAGUGGUGCAGAGCUGUGUAAACCCUUAACUACAUUCCUGAGCGUUUGCAUGAGAAACAAGGUAACUACAGUUUAAGGAAUCAGGGGCACGAUAGGGAGACACCCACUGCUAAAAUAUGCAAGUCAGUAUUAGAGACGAUUUUAAAACACUAACUUUAUGUUUGAGUAAUGUUUAAUGACUGCCAAAGUGUAUGUCAUUCAGUUCCUGGCUACUUACCCCAAACUCUCUACACAACCAUGACUGUAUUUUUAGCUUUGGUUGCCCCCCACACCCGCCCUGGGGGAACUGGUUUACCUUGGCAGCGUUGGUGCCAUGCUCUGCCUGAUAAGUUGUACAGAAUAAAAGCACAUUGACUCACUUGAAUGUGUCAAGUAUGUGUGCCGAGUUUGUGUAGUGAGUGAGGUAGAGUCUCAUAUCCGCAGCUGUCCAUCGGUCUGAACGGCAUGGCUCAAUAAACUGGAGGAGAGAAGGAGGGGAGGAGACGUUACAUCACACUGUCUCAAAGGCAGAUUCUAAGGUUGGCACAGGACUCAGAGAAUUUGGAGCUGUUUUGCUUACAACACAAACUACAGGAUUCUGAAAACGCACAAACCUUCUCCACGAGAUCAAUGAAGAAAUCUCUGACGUCUUUUGUGUUGGUUAACUUGGCAGCGAUGUUGACAAGGCCUCUGGAAAGAUUCUACAAAACAGAAUUAAAUAUAUAUAUAUGUAUAUAUAUAUAUAUAUAUGAAAUAGUUGGCUCGUUUGACUGUGCAAGUUAAUGAACACUUAUUUGCAGGACAUAAUGACCGAGUGAACGUUUAUACCUUGAAAUUAGCCUCCAUCUCAUUAAAAGCUUUAGUCUUUCCUCUGAGAGCUGUACAGACCAGACUGAAGAGAAAACAAAAAUAAAUAGAAAUGAAAGAGUGUGGUUCGCAAACACGUACCUUUUUUUUUUUCAAUCAUCAGCAUACGUAUGUGGAUGUUUGUGCUUGUUACCUUUUGUGUUGAUCCAGCAGAUCUUUGUCUGUGAUUAAAACCUUUAGUUCCUUCA